GCCAGGCAUGGUGGUGGGUGCCUGUAAUCCCAGCUACUCGGGAGGCUGAGGCAGGAGAAUCACUUGAAUCUGGGGGAUGGAGUUUGCAGUGAGCUGAGAUUGCACCACUGCACUCCAGCCCAGGUGACAGAGUGAGACUCUGUCUUCA
RNAcentral lists this non-coding RNA (148 nucleotides) under Pan paniscus (pygmy chimpanzee). Lineage: Eukaryota; Metazoa; Chordata; Mammalia; Primates; Hominidae. The record is from Rfam by way of RNAcentral. RNAcentral also lists the same sequence under 1 other name.